ACAUUGGGACUGAGACACGGCCCAGACUCCUACGGGAGGCAGCAGUAGGGAAUUUUCGGCAAUGGGGGCAACCCUGACCGAGCAACGCCGCGUGAGUGAUGAAGGUCUUCGGAUUGUAAAGCUCUGUUGUAAGGGAAGAACGGCAUCUAGAGAAUAGGUGAGUGACGGUACCUUACCAGAAAGCUACGGCUAACUACGUGCCAGCAGCCGCGGUAAUACGUAGGUAGCGAGCGUUAUCCGGAAUUAUUGGGCGUAAAGGGUGCGUAGGCGGCCUGUUAAGUUUAUGGUGAAAGCGUGGGGCUCAACCCCAUAAAGCCAUAGAUACUGGCAGGCUAGAGUACUGGAGAGGGUAGUGGAAUUCCAUGUGUAGCGGUAAAAUGCGUAGAUAUAUGGAGGAACACCGGUGGCGAAGGCGGCUACCUAGACAGAGACUGACGCUGAGGCACGAAAGCGUGGGGAGCAAAUAGGAUUAGAUACCCUAGUAGUCCACGCUGUAAACGAUGAAUGCUAGGUAUCGGGGCGACCCGGUGCCGAAACUAACGCGAUAAGCAUUCCGCCCUGUGGAGUAUGCACCGCAAGUGUGAAACAUAAAGGAAUUGACCGGGGGCCCGCACAAGCGGUGGAGUAUGUGGUUUAAUUCGACGCAACCCCGAAAAACCUUUACCAGGCCUUGACAUCCCUU
This 682-nucleotide ribosomal RNA is filed under the name uncultured bacterium. Its description in RNAcentral is "bacterial SSU rRNA". It matches the Rfam family "Bacterial small subunit ribosomal RNA", at positions 310 to 992 of the family's 1533-position model. The record is from RNAcentral.